Long non-coding RNA from Triticum aestivum (bread wheat), 17949 nucleotides. RefSeq lists it as uncharacterized. The record is from RefSeq and is a predicted model, not a curated record. Lineage: Eukaryota; Viridiplantae; Streptophyta; Magnoliopsida; Poales; Poaceae. The transcript has 7 exons.
AAUAUAAUAAUCACCAUGCUCAUUUACCAUAACUAAAAUCUCAUAAUCCAUCUAAUAUUUGGACUAUCUUCUCACAUCACAAUCACCUAACUAAAUCCACCUAGAAUCAAAUAAAUCACCGAGAAAUUUGGUUCAGUGUCACAAUCACCGAACUAAAUCCAAAUUGUUCCCGUCGACUACGAGGCGCCUAGGGCGACUUCGUAAAAUCUCAAGAUGAUAUGCCGGCCCAAUCUCUCGAAGGUGCUCAUAGGGUAGGGUGCACGUGUUUGCGUUCAUAGGGAUGAAUGUAUGUGCGUUUAUAUGAGCGCUUGCGUCUGUACUGUGUUAAAAAAGAUUAGUUAAUCAACCGAACAUCUUGGACUAUCUCUUCAAGGUCUCAAUCAACUAAUUAAAUCCUUUUAAAAUCUCGUAAUUUGCCAUGAAAUUUAGUUCAAAAUCACAAUCGCCUAACUAAAUCCAAAUUACUCAAAGUUUACCAAAAAUCCAUUUAUCCACUAAUAUAAUAACCACCAUGCUCACUUACUAGACAUAAAUUCUCACAUAAUACAUCAAACAUCUUUGACUAUCGCGUCAGGAUCACAAUCACCUAACUAAAACUAACCCAAACAUCAAAAUCCACCAUGAAUUUGCUUAAAAGGUCACAAUCAUCUAACUAUAUUCAAAUUGUUUCAAACUAAAUUAAAGGUUUGUUUAUCCACCAAUAUAAUAGUCACCAUGCUCACAUACUAGACCUAAAAUCAUACGGGAACAAAUAUUAGAUAGUCCAAAUAUUAGAUGUGAGAAGAUACUCCAAGUUUACCAAAAAUCCAUUUAUCCACUAAUAUAAUAACCACCAUGCUCACUUACUAGACAUAAAUUCUCACAUAAUACAUCAAACAUCUUUGACUAUCGCGUCAGGAUCACAAUCACCUAACUAAAACUAACCCAAACAUCAAAAUCCACCAUGAAUUUGCUUAAAAGGUCACAAUCAUCUAACUAUAUUCAAAUUGUUUCAAACUAAAUUAAAGGUCUAUUUAUCCACCAAUAUAAUAGUCACCAUGCUCACAUACUAGACCUAAAAUCAUACGGGAACAAUUUGGAUUUAGUUCGGUGAUUGUGACACUGAACCAAAUUUCUCGGUGAUUUAUUUGAUUCUAGGUGGAUUUAGUUAGGUGAUUGUGAUGUGAGAAGAUAGUCCAAAUAUUAGAUGGAUUAUGAGAUUUUAGUUAUGGUAAAUGAGCAUGGUGAUUAUUAUAUUGGUAGAUAAACAAAUAUUUAAUUUAGUUUGGAUCAAUUUGGAUUUAGGUAGGUGAUUGCGAUCUUUUAACCAAAUUUUAUGGUGGAUUAUGAGGCUUUGGUUGGAUUUGGUUAGGUGAUUGGGAUCUUGAUGAGCUAGUAAAAGAUGUUCCGUAGAUUAUAUGAAUUUACGUCUAGUAGGUGAGCAUGUUGGUUAUUACAGUGGUGGAUAAAUGGAUUUUUAGUAAACUUGAAAAUUUUGGAUUUAGUUAGAUGAUUAUGAUCUUGAGCCAAAUUUUAUGGUGGAUUAUGAGAUUUUUGAUGGAUUAGAUAGUUGAUUGUGAUCUUGAGGAGAUAGUCAAAGAUAUUCGGUGUAUUAAUUAAUCUUAAACAAUUUGGAUUUAGUUAGGUGAUUGUGAUAUUGAACUAGAUUUCCCAGUGAUUUAUGAGAUUUUAGUUGGAUUUAGUUAGGUGAUUGUGAUAUUGAACUAGAUUUCCCAGUGAUUUAUGAGAUUUUAGUUGGAUUUAGUUAGGUGAUUGUGUCUUUAGAAAAUAAUCAAAGAUGUUUGGUGGCUUAUGAGAUUUUAGGUCUAAUAACUGAGCAUGGUGAUUAUUAUAUUGGUGGAUAAACAAAUAUUUAAUUUAGUUUGAAACAAUUUGGAUUUAGCUCGGAGAUUGUGAUCUUUUAACCUAAUUUUACAGUGGAUUAUAAGGUUUUGGUUGGAUUUAGUUAGGUGACUGUGAUUUUGACAAGCCAGUAAAAGAUGUCCGGUGGAUUAUGUGAAUUUAGGUCUAGUAGAUGAGCAUGUUGAUUAUUAUAUUGGUGGAUAGAGAUGAGUGCCACACAAGUGACUCAAGGCGAUGAUGCUACUACGGAAAAUAACUGGUAAACAAGGCAACAAAGGAGAGAAUGGGGGUAGUGGCAGUAGAUGGACUUUGAUCCAGCAUCCCACGUGCUUGUGCACUCUCCGUUCCCCGCUGUUCGGCUUGGUGUUCUUGUCCUGUUUGCGGAUUUUGUGUCACACACUUGAUUAAGCAUCCCACGUUCCCCUAAUGUGCGCCCUUGGCCUUGACGAUAGGUAGCGCCGUGUUCUCGGGCGUGUCCCGUGGGUAAAAUUUAGGUAUGUGUCGAUUGUCCGAGCUCUUGCUCGCCAUUGGUGAUGCUUGAGCGUGCGGUCUUGAUGUCGCCCAGCAAGGGAACACGGGAUGUGGGAUCAAGACAGCACAUAUAGCAACCCGUCACCAGGCAACGGACGCCCGUUCGGACUUUCAGGAAGCAAAGGUGGACACAAAGGUGGAUGUUGAGCUCCAUAGCCGUCUCGACAAUGUGCUCAUCAGUAAGAGCAACACGAGCAAGAAGAUCCUGGAUGUACUCCUAUUAGGAAAUAAAGAAGCCAUUAGAGGUAGAAGAAACCUCAAUCUCAAGGAAGUCACGACUUCUGUAGUAAACGUGGAGCAAUUUGGAUUUAGUUAGGCGAUUGUGAUUUUGAACCAAAUUUCAUGGCAAAUUACGAGAUUUUAAAAGGAUUUAAUUAGUUGAUUGAGACCUUGAAGAGAUAGUCCAAGAUGUUCGGUUGAUUAAUUAAUCUUUUUUAACACAGUACAGACGCAAGCGCUCAUAUAAACGCACAUACAUUCUUCCCUAUGAACGCAAACACGCGCACCCUACCCUAUGAGCACCUUCGAGAGAUUGAGCCGGCAUAUCAUCUUGAGAUUUUACGAAGUCACCGUAGGCGCCUCGUAGUCGACGGAAACAAUUUGGAUUUAGUUCAGUGAUUGUGAUACUGAACCAAAUUUCUUGGUGAUUUAUUUGAUUCUAGGUGGAUUUAGUUAGGUGAUUGUGUUUUGAGAAGAUAGUCAAAAUAUUCGAUGGAUUAUGAGAUUUUAGUUAUGGUAAAUGAGCAUGGUGAUUAUUAUAUUGGUAGAUAAACAAAUAUUUAAUUUAGUUUGGAUCAAUUUGGAUUUAGAUAGGUGAUUGCGAUCUUUUAACCAAAUUUUAUGGUGGAUUAUGAGGCUUUUGUUGGAUUUAGUUAGGUGAUUGGGAUCUUGAUGAGCUAGUAAAAGAUGUUCCGUAGAUUAUAUGAAUUUACGUCUAGUAGGUGAGCAUGUUGUUUAUUAUAUUGGUGGAUAAAUGGAUUUUUAGUAAACUUGCAAAAAUUUGGAUUUAGUUAGAUGAUUGUGAUCGUGAGCCAAAUUUUAUGGUGGAUUAUGAGAUUUUUGAUGGAUUAGUUAGUCGAUUGUGAUCUUGAGGAGAUAGUCAAAGAUAUUCUGUGUAUUAAUUAAUCUUAAACAAUUUGGAUUUUGUUAGGUGAUUGUGAUAUUGAACUAGAUUUCUCAGUGAUUUAUGAGAUUUUAGUUGGAUUUAGUUAGGCGAUUGUGUCUUUAGAAAAUAAUCAAAUAUGUUUUGUGGAUCAUGAGAUUUUAGGUCUAGUAGAUGAGCAUGGUGAUUAUUAUAUUGGUGGAUAAACAGAUAUUUAAUUUAGUUUGAAACAAUUUGGAUUUGGUUCGGUGAUUAUGAUCUUUUAACCUAAUUUUACGAUGGAUAAUAAGGUUUUGGUUGGUUUAGUUAGGUGAUUUUUAUUUUGACAAACCAGUAAAGAUGUUCGGUGGAUUAUGUGAAUUUAGGUCUAGUAGGUGAGCAUGUUGAUUAUUAUAUUGGUGGAUAGAGAUGAGUGCCACACAAGUGAGUCAAGGCGAUGAUGCUACUACUGAAAAUAACUGGUAAACAAGGCAACAGAGGAGAGAAUGGGGGUAGUGGCAGCAGAUGGACUUUGAUCCAGCAUCCCACGUGCUUGUGCACUCUCCGUUCCCCGCUGUUCGGCUUGGUGUUCUUGUCAUGUUGGCGGAUUUUGUGUCACGCACUUGAUUAAGCAUCCCACGUUCCCCUAAUGUGCGCCCUUGGCCUUGACAAUAGGUAGCGCCGUGUUCUCGGGCGCGUCCCGUGGGUAAAAUUCAGGUAUGCGUCGAUUGCCCGAGCUCUUGCUCGCCAUUGGUGGUGCUUGAGCGUGCGGUCUUGGUGUCGCCCAGCAAGGGAACACGGGAUGUGGGAUCAAGACAGCACACAUAGCAACCCGUCACCAGGCAACGGACGCCCGUUCAGACUUCCAGGGAGUAGAGGUGGACACAAAGGUGGAUGUUGAGCUCCGUAGCCGUCUCGACAGUGUGCUCAUCAGUAAGAGCAACACGAGCAAGAAGAUCCCGGAUAUACUCUUAGGAAAUAAAGAAGCCAUUAGAGGUAGAAGAAACCUCAAUCUCAAGGAAGUCACGACUUCUUUAGUAAACAUGGAGCAAUUUGGAUUUAGUUAGGCGAUUGUGAUCUUGAACAAAUUUCAUGGUGGAUUACAAGAUUUUUCAAUGGAUUUAAUUGAUUGUGAUCUUGAGGAGAUAGUCAAAGAUGUCCGGUGUAUAUCUUGAACAAUUUGGAUUUAGUUAGGUGAUUGUGAUAUUGAACUAGAUUUCUCAGUGAUUUAUGAGAUUUUAGUUGGAUUUAGUUAGGUGAUUGUGUCUUUAGAAAAUAAUCAAAGAUGUUUUGUGGAUCAUGAGAUUUUAGGUCUAGUAGAUGAGCAUGGUGAUUAUUAUAUUGGUGGAUAAACAGAUAUUUAAUUUAUUUUGAAACAAUUUGGAUUUGGUUCGGUGAUUAUGAUCUUUUAACCUAAUUUUACGAUGGAUUAUAAGGUUUUGGUUGGUUUAGUUAGGUGAUUUUUAUUUUGACAAGCCUGUAAAAGAUGUUCGGUGGAUUAUGUGAAUUUAGGUCUAGUAGGUGAGCAUGUUGAUUAUUAUAUUGGUGGAUAGAGAUGAAUGCCACACAAGUGACUCAAGGCGAUGAUGCUACUACUGAAAAUAACUGGUAAACAAGGCAACAGAGGAGAGAAUGGGGGUAGUGGCAGCAGAUGGACUUUGAUCCAGCAUCCCACGUGCUUGUGCACUCUCCGUUCCCCGCUGUUCGGCUUGGUGUUCUUGUCAUGUUGGCGGAUUUUGUGUCACGCACUUGAUUAAGCAUCCCACGUUCCCCUAAUGUGCGCCCUUGGCCUUGACGAUAGGUAGCGCCGUGUUCUCGGGCGCGUCCCGUGGGUAAAAUUCAGGUAUGCGUCGAUUGUCCGAGCUCUUGCUCGCCAUUGGUGGUGCUUGAGCAUGCGGUCUUGGUGUCGCCCAGCAAGGGAACAGGGGAUGUGGGAUCAAGACAGCACACAUAGCAACCUGUCACCAGGCAACGGGCGCCCGUUCGGACUUCCAGGGUGCAGAGGUGGACACAAAGGUGGAUGUUGAGCUCCAUAGCCGUCUCGACAGUGUGCUCAUCAGUAAGAGCAACACGAGCAAGAAGAUCCUGGAUAUACUCCUCUUAGGAAAUAAAGAAGCCAUUAGAGGUAGAAGAAACCUCAAUCUCAAGGAAGUCACGACUUCUUAAGUAAACAUGGAGCAAUUAGGAUUUAGUUAGGCGAUUGUGAUCUUUAACAAAUUUCACGGUGGAUUACAAGAUUUUUCAAUGGAUUUAAUUGAUUGUGAUCUUGAGGAGAUAGUCAAAGAUGUCCAGUGUAUAUCUUGAACAAUAUGGAUUUAGUUAGAUGAUUGUGAUAUUGAACUAGAUUUCUCAGUGAUUUAUGAGAUUUUAGUUGGAUUGAGUUAGGUUAUUAUGUCUUGAGACGAUAAUCAAAUAUGUUUUGUGGAUCAUGAGAUUUUAGGUCUAGUAGAUGAGCAUGGUGAUUAUUAUAUUGGUGGAUAAACAGAUAUUUAAUUUAGUUUGAAACAAUUUGGAUCUUUUAACCUAAUUUUACGAUGGAUUAUAAGGUUUUGGUUGGUUUAGUUAGGUGAUUUUUAUUUUGACAAGCCAGUAAAAGAUGUUCGGUGGAUUAUGUGAAUUUAGGUCUAGUAGGUGAGCAUGUUGAUUAUUAUAUUGGUGGAUAGAGAUGAAUGCCACACAAGUGACUCAAGGCGAUGAUGCUACUACUGAAAAUAACUGGUAAACAAGGCAACAGAGGAGAGAAUGGGGGUAGUGGCAGCAGAUGGACUUUGAUCCAUCAUCCCACGUGCUUGUGCACUCUCCGUUCCCCGCUGUUCGGCUUGGUGUUCUUGUCAUGUUGGCGGAUUUUGUGUCACGCACUUGAUUAAGCAUCCCACGUUCCCCUAAUGUGCGCCCUUGGCCUUGACGAUAGGUAGCCCCGCGUUCUCGGGCGCGUCCCGUGGGUAAAAUUCAGGUAUGCGUCGAUUGUCCGAGCUCUUGCUCGCCAUUGGUGGUGCUUGAGCAUGCGGUCUUGGUGUCGCCCAGCAAGGGAACACGGGAUGUGGGAUCAAGAUAGCACACAUAGCAACCUGUCACCAGGCAACGGACGCCCGUUCGGACUUCCAGGGAGCAGAGGUGGACACAAAGGUGGAUGUUGAGCUCCAUUGCCGUCUCGACAGUGUGCUCAUCAGUAAGAGCAACACAAGCAAGAAGAUCCUGGAUAUACUCCUCUUAGGAAAUAAAGAAGCCAUUAGAGGUAGAAGAAACCUCAAUCUCAAGGAAGUCACGACUUCUUUAGUAAACAUGGAGCAAUUUGGAUUUAGUUAGGCGAUUGUGAUCCUUAACAAAUUUUGUGGUGGAUUACAAGAUUUUUCAAUGGAUUUAAUUGAUUGUGAUCUUGAAGAGAUAGUCAAAGAUGUCAAGUGUAUAUCUUGAACAAUAUGGAUUUAGUUAUAUGAUUGUGAUAUUGAACUAGAUUUCUCAGUGAUUUAUGAGAUUUUAGUUGGAUUGAGUUAGGUUAUUAUGUCUUGAGACGAUAAUCAAAGAUGUUUUGUGGAUCAUGAGAUUUUAGGUCUAGUAGAUGAGCAUGGUGAUUAUUAUAUUGGUGGAUAAACAGAUAUUUAAUUUAGUUUGAAACAAUUUGGAUUUGGUUCGGUGAUUAUGAUCUUUUAACCUAAUUUUAUGAUGGAUUAUAAGGUUUUGGUUGGUUUAGUUAGGUGAUUUUUAUUUUGACAAGCCUGUAAAAGAUGUUCGGUGGAUUAUGUGAAUUUAGGUCUAGUAGGUGAGCAUGUUGAUUAUUAUAUUGGUGGAUAGAGAUGAAUGCCACACAAGUGACUCAAGGCGAUGAUGCUACUACUGAAAAUAACUGGUAAACAAGGCAACAGAGGAGAGAAUGGGGGUAGUGGCAGCAGAUGGACUUUGAUCCAGCAUCCCACGUGCUUGUGCACUCUCCGUUCCCCGCUGUUCGGCUUGGUGUUCUUGUCAUGUUGGCGGAUUUUGUGUCACGCACUUGAUUAAGCAUCCCACGUUCCCCUAAUGUGCGCCCUUGGCCUUGACGAUAGGUAGCGCCGCGUUCUCGGGCGCGUCCCGUGGGUAAAAUUCAGGUAUGCGUCGAUUGUCCGAGCUCUUGCUCGCCAUUGGUGGUGCUUGAGCAUGCGGUCUUGGUGUCGCCCAGCAAGGGAACACGGGAUGUGGGAUCAAGAUAGCACACAUAGCAACCUGUCACCAGGCAACGGACGCCCGUUCGGAUUUCCAGGGAGCAGAGGUGGACACAAAGGUGGAUGUUGAGCUCCAUAGCCGUCUCGACAGUGUGCUCAUCAGUAAGAGCAACACAAGCAAGAAGAUCCUGGAUAUACUCCUCUUAGGAAAUAAAGAAGCCAUUAGAGGUAGAAGAAACCUCAAUCUCAAGGAAGUCACGACUUCUUUAGUAAACAUGGAGCAAUUUGGAUUUAGUUAGGCGAUUGUGAUCUUCAACAAAUUUCACGGUGGAUUACAAGAUUUUUCAAUGGAUUUAAUUGAUUGUGAUCUUGAGGAGAUAGUCAAAGAUGUCAAGUGUAUAUCUUGAACAAUAUGGAUUUAGUUAGAUGAUUGUGAUAUUGAACCAAAUUUCUUUGUAAUUUAUGAGAUUUUAGUUGGAUUGAGUUAGGUGAUUGUGUCUUGAGACGACAAUCAAAUAUGUUUUGUGGAUCAUGAGAUUUUAGGUCUAGUAGAUGAGCAUGGUGAUUAUUAUAUUGGUGGAUAAACAGAUAUUUAAUUUAGUUUGAAACAAUUUGGAUUUGGUUCGGUGAUUAUGAUCUUUUAACCUAAUUUUACGAUGGAUUAUAAGGUUUUGGUUGGUUUAGUUAGGUGAUUUUUAUUUUGACAAGCCUGUAAAAGAUGUUCGGUGGAUUAUGUGAAUUUAGGUCUAGUAGGUGAGCAUGUUGAUUAUUAUAUUGGUGGAUAGAGAUGAAUGCCACACAAGUGACUCAAGGCGAUGAUGCGACUACUGAAAAUAACUGGUAAACAAGGCAACAGAGGAGAGAAUGGGGGUAGUGGCAGCAGAUGGACUUUGAUCCAGCAUCCCACGUGCUUGUGCACUCUCCGUUCCCCGCUGUUCGGCUUGGUGUUCUUGUCAUGUUGGCGGAUUUUGUGUCACACACUUGAUUAAGCAUCCCACGUUCCCCUAAUGUGCGCCCUUGGCCUUGACGAUAGGUAGCGCCGCGUUCUCGGGCGCGUCCCGUGGGUAAAAUUCAGGUAUGCGUCGAUUGUCCGAGCUCUUGCUCGCCAUUGGUGGUGCUUGAGCAUGCGGUCUUGGUGUCGCCCAGCAAGGGAACACGGGAUGUGGGAUCAAGAUAGCACACAUAGCAACCUGUCACCAGGCAACGGACGCCCGUUCGGACUUCCAGGGAGCAGAGGUGGACACAAAGGUGGAUGUUGAGCUCCAUAGCCGUCUCGACAGUGUGCUCAUCAGUAAGAGCAACACAAGCAAGAAGAUCCUGGAUAUACUCCUCUUAGGAAAUAAAGAAGCCAUUAGAGGUAGAAGAAACCUCAAUCUCAAGGAAGUCACGACUUCUUUAGUAAACAUGGAGCAAUUUGGAUUUAGUUAGGCGAUUGUGAUCUUCAACAAAUUUCAUGGUGGAUUACAAGAUUUUUCAAUGGAUUUAAUUGAUUGUGAUCUUGAGGAGAUAGUCAAAGAUGUCAAGUGUAUAUCUUGAACAAUAUGGAUUUAGUUAGAUGAUUGUGAUAUUGAACCAAAUUUCUUUGUAAUUUAUGAGAUUUUAGUUGGAUUGAGUUAGGUGAUUGUGUCUUGAGACGACAAUCAAAUAUGUUUUGUGGAUCAUGAGAUUUUAGGUCUAGUAGUUGAGCACGGUGAUUAUUAUAUUGGUGGAUAAACAGAUAUUUAAUUUAGUUUGAAACAAUUUGGAUUUGGUUCGGUGAUUAUGAUCUUUUAACCUAAUUUUACGAUGGAUUAUAAGGUUUUGGUUGGUUUAGUUAGGUGAUUUUUAUUUUGACAAGCCAGUAAAAGAUGUUCGGUGGAUUAUGUGAAUUUAGGUCUAGUAGGUGAGCAUGUUGAUUAUUAUAUUGGUGGAUAGAGAUGAGUGCCACACAAGUGACUCAAGGCGAUGAUGCUACUACUGAAAAUAACUGGUAAACAAGGCAACAGAGGAGAGAAUGGGGGUAGUGGCAGCAGAUGGACUUUGAUCCAGCAUCCCACGUGCCUGUGCACUCUUCGUUCCCUGCGGUCCAGCCUGGUGUUCUUGUCCUGUUUGCGGAUUUUGUGUCACGCACUUGAUUAAGCAUCCCGCGUUCCCCUAAUGGGCGCCCUUGGCCUUGAUGAUAGGUAGCGCCGUGUUCUCGGGCGCGUCCCGUGGGUAAAAUUCAGGUAUGCGUCGAUUGUCUGAGCUCUUGCUCGCCAUUGGUGGUGCUUGAGCGUGCGGUCUUGGUGUCGCCCAGCAAGGGAACACGGGAUGUGGGAUCAAGACAACACACAUAGCAACCCGUCACCAGGCAACGGACGCCCGUCCGGACUUUCAGGGAGCAGAGGUGGACACAAAGGUGGAUGUUGAGCUCCAUAGCCGUCUCGACAGUGUGCUCAUCAGUAAGAGCAACACGAGCAAGAAGAUCCUGGAUAUACCCCUCUUAGGAAAUAAAGAAGCCAUUAGAGGUAGAAGAAACCUCAAUCUCAAGGAAGUCACGACUUCUUUAGUAAACAUGGAGCAAUUUGGAUUUAGUUAGGCGAUUGUGAUCCUUAACAAAUUUCGUGGUGGAUUACAAGAUUUUUCAAUGGAUUUAAUUGAUUGUGAUCUUGAAGAGAUGGUCAAAGAUGUCCAGUGUAUAUCUUGAACAAUAUGGAUUUAGUUAUAUGAUUGUGAUAUUGAACUAGAUUUCUUAGUGAUUUAUGAGAUUUUAGUUGGAUUGAGUUAGGUUAUUAUGUCUUGAGACGAUAAUCAAUGAUGUUUUGUGGAUCAUGAGAUUUUAGGUCUAGUAGAUGAGCAUGGUGAUUAUUAUAUUGGUGGAUAAACAGAUAUUUAAUUUAGUUUGAAACAAUUUGUAUUUGGUUCGGUGAUUAUGAUCUUUUAACCUAAUUUUACGAUGGAUUAUAAGGUUUUGGUUGGUUUAGUUAGGUGAUUGUGAUCUUGACAAGCCAGUAAAAGAUGUUCGGUGGAUUAUGUGAAUUUAGGUCUAGUAGGUGAGCAUGUUGAUUAUUAUAUUGGUGGAUAAAGAUGCGGGCCAGACAAGUGACUCAAGGCGAUGAUGCAACUACUGAAAAUAACUAGUAAAGAAGGCAACAGAGGAGAGAAUGGGGGUAGUGGCAGCAGAUGGAGUUUGAUCCAGCAUCCCACGUGCCUGUGCACUCUUCGUUCCCCGCUGUCCGGCUUGGUGUUCUUGUCCUGUUUGCGGAUUUUGUGUCACGCACUUGAUUAAGCAUCCCACGUUCCCCUAAUGUGCGCCCUUGGCCUUGACGAUAGGUAGCGCCGUGUUCUCGGGCGCGUCCCGUGGGUAAAAUUCAGGUAUGCGUCGAUUGUCUGAGCUCUUGCUCGCCAUUGGUGGUGCUUGAGUGUGAGGUCUUGGUUUCGCCCAGCAAGGGAACACAGGAUGUGGGAUCAAGACAGCACACAUAGCAACCCGUCACUAGGCAACGGACGCCUGUCCGGACUUUCAGGGAGCAGAGGUGGACACAAAGGUGGAUGUUGAGCUCCAUAGUCGUCUCGACAGUGUGCUCAUCAGUAAGAGCAACACGAGCAAGAAGAUCCUGGAUAUACUCCUCUUAGGAAAUAAAGAAGCCAUUAGAGGUAGAAGAAACCUCAAUCUCAAGGAAGUCACGACUAUUUAAUAAACAUGGACCAAUUUGGAUUUAGUUAGGCGAUUGUGAUCUUGAACAAAUUUCAUGGUGGAUUACAAGAUUUUUCAAUGGAUUUAAUUGAUUGUGAUCUUGAGGAGAUAGUCAAAGAUGUCUAGUGUAUAUCUUGAACAAUAUGGAUUUAGUUAGAUGAUUGUGAUAUUGAACCAAAUUUCUUUGUAAUUUAUGAGAUUUUAGUUGGAUUGAGUUAGGUGAUUGUGUCUUGAGACGAUAAUCAAAUAUGUUUUGUGGAUCAUGAGAUUUUAGGUCUAGUAGAUGAGCAUGGUGAUUAUUAUAUUGGUGGAUAAACAGAUAUUUAAUUUAGUUUGAAACAAUUUGGAUUUGGUUCGGUGAUUAUGAUCUUUUAACCUAAUUUUAUGAUGGAUUAUAAGGUUUUGGUUGGUUUAGUUAGGUGAUUGUGAUUUUGACAAGCCAGUAAAAGAUGUUCGGUGGAUUAUGUGAAUUUAGGUCUAGUAGGUGAGCAUGUUGAUUAUUAUAUUGGUGGAUAAAGAUGGGGGCCACACAAGUGACUCAAGGCGAUGAUGCAACUAUUGAAAAUAACUAGUAAACAAGGCAACAGAGGAGAGAAUGGGGGUAGUGGCAGCAGAUGGACUUUGAUCCAGCAUCCCACGUGCCUGUGCACUCUUCGUUCCCCGCUGUUCGGCUUGGUGUUCUUGUCCUGUUUGCAGAUUUUGUGUCACACACUUGAUUAAGCAUCCCACGUUCCCCUAAUGUGCGCCCUUGGCCUUGAUGAUAGGUAGCGUCGUGUUCUCGGGCGCGUCCCGUGGGUAAAAUUCAGGUAUGCGUCGAUUGUCCGAGCUCUUGCUCGCCAUUGGUGGUGCUUGAGCGUGCGGUCUUGGUGUCACCCAGCAAGGGAACACGGGAUGUGGGAUCAAGACAACACACAUAGCAACCCGUCACCAGGCAACGGACGCCCGUCCGGACUUUCAGGGAGCAGAGGUGGACACAAAGGUGGAUGUUGAGCUCCAUAGCCGUCCCGACAGUGUGCUUAUCAGUAAGAGCAACACGAGCAAGAAGAUGCUGGAUAUACUCUUAGGAAAUGAAGAAGCCAUUAGAGGUAGAAACCUCAAUCUCAAGGAAGUCGCGACUUCUUUAGUAAACAUGGAGCAAUUUGGAUUUAGUUAGGCGAUUGUGAUCUUGAACAAAUUUCAUGGUGGAUUACAAGAUUUUUCAAUGGAUUUAGUUGAUCGUGAUCUUGAGGAGAUAGUCAAGGAUGUUCGGUGUAUUAAUUAAUCUUGAACAAUAUGGAUUUAGUUAGAUGAUUGUGAUAUUGAACCACAUUUCUCUGUGAUUUAUGAGAUUUUAGUUGGAUUUAGUUAGGUGAUUGUGUCUUGAGAUGAUAAUCAAAGAUGUUUUGUGGAUCAUGAUAUUUUAGGUCUACUAGAUGAGCAUGGUGAUUAUUAUAUUGGUGGAUAAAUAGAAGUUAUAUUAAUUUGGAACAAUUUGAAUUUGAUAGGUGAUUGUGAUCUUUUAACCUUAUUUUACGAUGGAUUAUAAGGUUCUGGUUGCAUUUAGUUAGGUGAUUGUGAUUUUGAGGAGGUAGUAAAAGAUGUUUGGUGAAUUAUCCGAAUUUAGGUCUAGUAGGCGAGCAUGUUGAUUAUAUUGGUGGAUAAAUGGAUCUUCAGUAAAUUUUAAACAAUUUGGAUUUAGUUCAGCGAUUGUGACCUUAAACCAAAAUUUAUGGUGGAUUAUGAGAUUUUUUUAUGGAUUAGUUAGUUGAUUAUGAUCUUGAGAAGAUAUUCAAAGAUGUUUGGAUUAAUUAAUCUUGAACAAUUUGGAUUUAGUUAGGUGAUUGUGAUACUGAACCGAAUUUUACGCUGGAUUAUGAGAUUUUAGGUGGAUUUAGUUAGGUGAUUGUGUCUUGAGAAUAUAGUCAAAGAUGUUUGUUGGACUAUGAGAUUUUAGGUUUAGUAGAUGAGAAUGGUGAUUAUUAUAUUGGUGGAUAAACCGUUCUUUAAUUUAGUUUGAAACAAUUUUGAUUUAGUUAGGUGAUUGUUAUUUUUGAGCAAAUUCACGGUGGAUUUUGAGGUUUUGUUGGAUUUAGUUAGGUGAUUGUGAUCUUGACGAAUUAGUCAAAGAUGUUUGGUGAAUUAUGUUAAUUUAGGUCUAGUAAGUGAGCAUGGUGGUUAUUAUAUUGGUGGAUAAAUGGGCCUUUAGUAAACAUGGAGCAAUUUGGGUGUGGUUAGGCUAUUGUGAUCUUGAACAAAUUUCAAAGUGGAUUGCGAGAUUUUCAAUAGAUUUAGUUAGUAGAUUGUGAUCUUGGGAGAUGUCAAAGAUGUUUGGUGGAUUAAUUAAUCUUAAACAAUUUGGAUUUAGUUAGAUGACUGCGAUAUUGAACCAAAUUGCUCUGUGAUUUAUGAGGUGAUUGUGUCUUGAGAUGAUAAUCAAAGAUGUUUGGUGGAUUAUGAGAUUUUAGGUCUAAUAGUGAGCAUGGUGAUUAUUAUAUUGGUGGAUAAAUGAAUCUUUAAUAAAUUUGGAACAAUUUGGAUUUAGUUAGCCGACUGUGAUCUUUAACCAAAUUUUAUGGUGGAUUAUGAGAUUUAGUUUGGCCACGCUCUGCCUUUUCCUCAAGGAGCAUGUGCAGUGCGGUGGUGCGGCUGCUCGUGCGGCGGGCGGUAGCCUCAGAAGAUGGGCGCCGACACCUGCAGCUUGUGCACAAUGGUCCGUAACCCUCUCCUUCCUGGCACAGGAGGAGCAGGAGCAAGGAUGCCGAGGCGGUUCAGGUGAAUGGUGCUUUAGCUUCAAUGACCAAUUUUAUUGCUAAAUAUUUUUCCCACUGGAAGUGUCGAAGAACAUACAACUUGUCGUGAGGAAGAGUAGGAAGAUCAGGCAGAGAGGGUUUCACAUACCUCUUCUACACUCACAAGUCUUUGCUUUCCAGGAUUGCCAUGGGAGCUUUGGAUGGUGGUCUUGGUAUUUCGCACAGUGACAAGAGAUUUGUUCGCUUCAAGAAGGAUAAGAAGCAGCUGGGCGCUGAGAUUCACCGCAAAUACAUCUAUGAAGGUCAUGUUGCUGACUACAUGAAGUCAAUAGCUGAUGAGGAACCUAAGAAGUACCAAUCUCACUUCAGUGAGUACAUCAAGAAGAAUAUUGCGGCCGAUGACAUGGAAGCACUGUACAAGAAGUGCAUGAUGAACUACACGGUAAAGUUCAGCUGAAGUUCCUCUGUUUUCUUCUACCAGGAGUUCUGACAAUUUGUACACUUGGCUGCAAAUUUAUGCCGUUUGCAUCACCAUACGGAUAGUGGUUUGUUCUUCUGUCGUUAUUCAUGGUUCUCAUCAUAGCCAUACUGAAUGAUGCAGGUGGCAUCUCUGAAUUUAUCAUAUGAAUUAUGACUUUAUGAGCUUGCUUGGCUACUGACCUGCUGUGUGGGAAGGGCAUCCUUUUACCAGAGCUAUGGAUUUUAAUAUGCUCCGUUUCCUUCAGGUCUUUUAUCACUCCAUCCUUGAUUUAUCUAAGUCCAUUGGGGUUGCUCAUGAAUUAAAGAAUUUAGGCUUACAGUAGGAUGAACUUCCUUGAGAAUCAAUAAUAGAAAAGUUUUGGUUAAGAGCAAUUUCCAACGGGUCGUCAAAUUUGUUUUUCUGAUGUUUGGGUCUUGGCAUGUAUGCUUUGCUUGCCUAUAUGCUCUGUUUGAAACCUUUUAUUCUGCUUUUGUCUUGGUCUGAAUCAUGGAUAAAUUGCCUCCCUUUUUACUUGCUUGGGCUUGGGAUUGGGCUUGGAAGAGCUUUAUCCUGUACUUAGUUACUUGGGUUGUAUGACACCUAUGGUUACCUCAUUGUGCUUCCAGUUCAUUUGCCUUUGUUGGUGGCUGGGGGCAAAUAUUUAGUUUGAAUUAUAGUUGAUUGUCUUUGGAUGUUGCUAAUUUUGUAUGAGCUGCAGGUGACAUGUUCUUUCUAUUUUUUAUAGAAAAUAUUUUCUUUCUACUACCUCCAAUCCAAAAUAAGUGUCGCAGUUUUGAGCCCGGGUUCGUUCAAAACUGCCACACUUAUUUUGGAUCGGAGGGAGUAAUAUUUAGUUUUCUUCCAGUAUUAAUGAUGUUUUCACUCUUUUGUCAGAUUAACAAUUUGCAUUGACCUUUUAUUGCACCUUUGAUUGUAAUCAGCAUCAAAUGGUUGUCUCGCUAUGCUUUGCAUUAUUAUAGAUCGUAUAUGCUGCUGCUACUUAAUUAUACUUCUAUGUGAUCAUGCAAUUGUAUUCAUUUUAAUGUUCACCGGUGAUGGAAAAGCGCCGACUGAUAUGAAGCUAAGAGGAAGAAAAGUAAGAGAAAAUUUACUUCACUGGUUGAUAGGAAUCCAUCUCACGUUUUCUCGUGUUGUGCCUUUCUCAAAGUAAAAAAGCAAAAGUCGGAGAGAGAAAUUACUGUACUAGUUAAGACAACUAAUUUGCAUACAAUGGCAGCAAUGCACAAUCAGUGUCAGUGUUAGCGUGUACUUAUUUCAAAGAUGAUUGGAGUAACCGUUGGCCGGUUCAGCAGCCACCAUUUAAUCGAAUCACAAUUCAUAGACUAGUAGGCAAAGGUAUUGGAGGGCUACUUUCAGAUCAAUUCAUGACUAUACGUAUGGUAUGAGCUAUUCCUAUCGCCGCGAACUUGUUGAACACGGCAAUACUGGUGAACAAAAGCACAAGUGUGCGUGCAGUGCGAGCUAAGAAAGCUGGUUCAUCAUUCAGCAUUAUGCAUGGUAUUCAGUCAUGAUUGUCAAGUGUCAAGUUCAGUUUUAAAAGCUGAACCCUCAAGUGUUAAGUUUAGGUAACAGGGGCUGUGGAGUAACUGUAGCUGGAUCAAAUCCUCAAUGUCAAGUUCAGAAUAUGAUACUCAAUUAUCAUGACAAAAUUUACUUCUUUGGAAUGUGUGGGUGCGCUGGUUUUCGACUACUUGAUCUAAUCAUCUUGAAUUGACAGAGGUUUUCUGACUAUACCCGCAAGUCGCAACCAUGGCCUUACAUUGCUACACACCUCUGCUGAAGCCCCAACUGGCCCAAGUCUCGGUCAACCCUUCCAUUAACACGAUACAGAUUCCAGGUUUGCUUUGCCCUGCACGAAUAUGCUCGUUCCAUGACAUCUCUCUGGAAUAUACACUGCAUAACAUGUGUUGAUGUGUGGAUGCACUGGCUAGCGAUUAGUUAUUCUAAUACUCUGCUGAUAAUUAUCUUCUCUGAAUAUACACGAAAUAAUGGCCUUAUAGAGUCAGUGCUCCGUCCCUCUGCUAAAGCCCUAACUGGCCCAUGUCUCGGCCAGCCCUUCUCUAAAUCGAUGCAGAUUGCAGGUUUGCCUCGCAUCAAUAUGCUCCUUGCAUAAGCUAGUAAUCUCUGGCCAUGCUUCAUUUUUUAUCCUACUUGCAUCAUGCCUGAUGACUUUUUUUGUGCCACCAAUUUUAGUGUAUGUUCGAGGAGUAGCAGAUUUUACGGAUCUUUUUUUGUGUCGUUGCUUCAUCAAAUGGAAAUUUAAGUAACGGGAGAUUCGUCAAAUGGAAAUUUAAACCAGUUUAUGACUUGGUGAGGAAUAUAUAUAUUAGUGUGUGUUGUUACGUUGAGCUCUAAAUAACGGGGAGCACACAAAAUUACAUUCAAUCCAAAUAGGACUGGUGUUUGCAUCUGUAUUCUGUAGUUCUGUAUGUUGUAUUCAAAUAAACUGUUUCUUUUUGGGUGUUAAUUUUUCGUCUUAAUAAUGGUGAUUGUUAUUCACUUGGAACCAUCAUGUAAACCUAGCUGGACAUGGUUAAACUAUAAUUUUCCAUGUUUCAAAAUACUAUACGGUUUAGUACUUUGUUCCGAGAGUCUUACUUCCCAAAAUGGAUUUUUUUUUCCAGUAAGUAUUCUCCUAAAUCUUUUUGGUGUCUUGAUGUGAUCUGAUCAUCAGAAUGCAUGAACUGUAUUGAAUUCUUGUAAGGAAGCAUUUGAAUGUUGCUUGUCCUGAUCUAAUUAUCUGCAAUCCACAGGUUAUGGAACUGCACUUGCAAUGGUAGCAGGAACGACCUUGCUUGGGCGACCUUCUCUGUUAUGAUAUUGUUGUCUAAGUUAAAAAACCUGAAUCUGCUCCAUGGUUUUGUUAUGUUGGAUGUGCCCCAAGAAGCUUCUUUCUUUUGAUUUUUGUUGUCAAUAUAUUCUGUGCAUGCUCCUCGUACUCAUUAUGAAGUUUGGCAAAUAUCAAUUCUCUGGAUGUUCUUCAUAACUAUGGCGAAUCACAUGAAGUUCAAAUGUUAGCAUAGCUAAUAAGUUGUAUUUUCGGCGAUGACACAAUGCACAGGUCAAGUGUUAGUUUUCUGAAACUAUUGUACUGUGAACUGAUGCAAACUUCCUCACUUUUAUUUGUAGUUUGGCCAACAUUGGUACCUGGUGUCGAUGUGGAGGAAAAGACCUUAGCAGGACUACUGACUGUCGCCUUGCAACUCAUUUUCUUCAGAAGUGUCUCGGCCUCAGACAUGAAAACUUGAGAAUUCAGAUUUUUUGUAGCGCAGAACCCAUUAGCUCCUAUCUUUGUGCUAGCUAAACUUGAGCUUAAGUUGUAGUGGUGUAGUCAAAAUUAUUUGUGUACUGAAUUUUUAUUCUUUUAUGUGCCCGUAGUGAGUUUUGUAGUUUUAUUUGAUAAUUAUUUGUGCAAAUUUUAGCUGUGAUCUGAUGUGUUAUACCAAAGGUUUGUAUGUUGUGUGUGAGGGAUUUCCUUCCCUGCCGUUGUUGCC